This 111-nucleotide small RNA is filed under the name Chrysemys picta bellii (western painted turtle). RNAcentral describes it as "TUC338 (ENSCPBG00000015454.1)". Lineage: Eukaryota; Metazoa; Chordata; Testudines; Emydidae. The record is from RNAcentral.
UCUGUUUACCCACACAACAGGUACAGCAGAGGUAGAAGCAGUACAAACUUCCUCUACACUCCUGCCUAUAUGCCUCAGUCCUUGUGGAAAAGUCCUAUAGAGCUUAACAGA